AUUGAACGCUGGCGGCAGGCCUAACACAUGCAAGUCGAGCGGAUGAAGGGAGCUUGCUCCUGGAUGCAGCGGCGGACGGGUGAGUAAUGCCUAGGAAUCUGACUGGUAGUGGGGGAUAACGUACGGAAACGGGAGCGAAUACCGCAUACGACAAGAGGGAGAAAGGGGGGGAUCUACGGACAUCACGCGAUCAGAUGAGCCUACGACGGAUUAGCUAGUUGGUGGGGUAAAGGCCUACCAAGGCGACGAUCCGUAACUGCUCUGAAAGGAUGAUCAGUCACACUGGAACUGAGACACGGUCCAGACUCCUACGGGAGGCAGCAGUAGGGAAUCUUCCGCAAUGGGCGAAAGCCUGACGCAGCCAUGCCGCGUGUGUGAUGAAGGUCUUCGGAUUGUAAAGCACUUUAAGUUGGGAGGAACGUCUGUAUGUUUAUCCCUUGCUGUUUUGACGUUACCAACAGAGUAAGCACCGGCUAACUUCGUG
This 484-nucleotide ribosomal RNA is filed under the name uncultured bacterium. Its description in RNAcentral is "partial 16S ribosomal RNA". It matches the Rfam family "Bacterial small subunit ribosomal RNA", at positions 30 to 507 of the family's 1533-position model. The record is from RNAcentral.